ACCUUCGGGCCUCUUGCCAUCGGAUGUGCCCAGAUGGGAUUAGCUAGUAGGUGGGGUAAAGGCUCACCUAGGCGACGAUCCCUAGCUGGUCUGAGAGGAUGACCAGCCACACUGGAACUGAGACACGGUCCAGACUCCUACGGGAGGCAGCAGUGGGGAAUAUUGCACAAUGGGCGCAAGCCUGAUGCAGCCAUGCCGCGUGUAUGAAGAAGGCCUUCGGGUUGUAAAGUACUUUCAGCGGGGAGGAAGGGAGUAAAGUUAAUACCUUUGCUCAUUGACGUUACCCGCAGAAGAAGCACCGGCUAACUCCGUGCCAGCAGCCGCGGUAAUACGGAGGGUGCAAGCGUUAAUCGGAAUUACUGGGCGUAAAGCGCACGCAGGCGGUUU
Molecule: ribosomal RNA, 387 nt
Filed under: Escherichia coli
Lineage: Bacteria; Pseudomonadati; Pseudomonadota; Gammaproteobacteria; Enterobacterales; Enterobacteriaceae
Description: bacterial SSU rRNA
Rfam family: Bacterial small subunit ribosomal RNA
Source: RNAcentral